Molecule: non-coding RNA, 61 nt
Filed under: Paenibacillus macerans
Lineage: Bacteria; Bacillati; Bacillota; Bacilli; Caryophanales; Paenibacillaceae
Description: Fluoride sequence
Rfam family: Fluoride riboswitch aptamer (crcB RNA motif)
Source: Rfam by way of RNAcentral
AGUAUUAAAGGCGAUGGAGUUCGCCUGAACCGCUCCCCGAGCUAAUGACUCCUACCAGUUG